Long non-coding RNA from Pleuronectes platessa (European plaice), 1461 nucleotides. RefSeq lists it as uncharacterized. NCBI's taxonomy places the organism in Eukaryota, Metazoa, Chordata, Actinopteri, Pleuronectiformes, Pleuronectidae. The record is from RefSeq and is a predicted model, not a curated record. The transcript is spliced from 2 exons.
CAUUACCAGCGGUAAGCAAGUGAGUCUGGAGGACUUGGCAUUACCAGCGGUAAGCAAGUGAGUCUGGAGGACUUGGCAUUACCAGCGGUAAGCGCGCUGAUAUAAAUGUUGAUGAUUCGAUGAUUUGUUCACCAACAACACAGGCCUUUAAAGUCGACACAGUAGCAUGCUAAAAUAUCUUGCAGACCAGGGCCACGAGGCCAGCCUGGCUAAGCUGCAAUUUGUCCAGAAAAGUGUAACUUUCCUAGGACACAAAAUUUCUAGUAGCGGUAAAAACAUUGAGCUCAAACGAGUGGAAGCCAUCCUAAAGAUUCUAACACCGCGUUCUAAAAAACAAUUAAUGUAAUUUUUUUAGGGAUGACGGACUACUGUAAACAGUGGAUCUGUGAUUAUGCAUCCCUGGAGGCUCCACUCCUGUAUGUUAUGCAUGGCCAAGGACUGACACCAACCGACAACCUGACGUGGAUGACAGACGCUGACACAGCAUUUACCUAACUACAACAGACUGACUUCGACACCUACACUGGGACCACCAGAUCAAAACAGAUCAUUUACACAGACUGUAAAUGAGAAACGGGGUUUCAUGACAACAGUUUAGUGCAAACGACCAGUGGCGUAUUUCUCCUCAAAGAAAUUAGAUAGCUUGGCAUAGGGUCAGCCUCUCUGUCUAAGAGCAGAAUGAUAUCAAGAGGUCACAUUGUUAAUGCCAUAUUCUGGAUCGUCCAUUCUGCUAGAGCAGCAACCUAAUUCUAUUAACAGCCAUUUUACUCUGUAAAGUGUGAAGCUCACACUAAAGGUGAUUCUGUUUUUUCAACAGGUAAUGCUCAAGCAGAUACAGCAGCAGAGGAAGCGGCAACUAACCAACAUACUGUCAUUGAUAUUCCUUUUUCCUUUCUCUCACAGAUUUAGCAGAAGCACAGAGCCAUGCUAACAACAUAGAGAAAGCAGAAUGUAAAUGUUUUAACAAUGUAUGUCAAUCUAAGGACGGCCGUCCAUGUGUGUUUAAAUGUUUAUUUGUUGUUUUGUUUGUUUCUGUUUUAUUGAAAAUUGUCUGGUUUCCAAAACUACUCUUUUACGUUUUAUUUCAAAAUGUUUACAUUUUCUGACAGGCAACACUACAGGAGGCCAGGACGUACAACCCCCUGGCCAACCGAUUGAUCGCUUGCAAAUGGAUUUCAUUGAACUAACACCAUGUGAAGGAAAGGAGCAUUGUCAUGUGGCUGUUGACAUAUUUUCCCUACAGGUAAAUGCAGCAAUCCCGCAACCAGCAGAGAGCCAGUUGCAUAAUUGGAAACCAGGAGACUGGGUGCUGAUAUAAGUCCGCCACUUGAGACGGAGGCCCAGGGAGAAAGUGUCGCUUCCCUCACAGACGAGGAACAAAGCAGAAGAAAGACGACAGCUCUCACUGAGGUGUAAAACCAUACCAACAACCAACAGCUGUUGCAGAUAAAGGAAGAAACG